AUAUAAACAAUUAUCUCUUAUACAAUUACAACAGUUGUCAAUAUCCAUACUGAAAAUAAAUAUAGUUUAACAAAGUCAAUUAAGUUAUCAAACAAAUUAUUGAUUGAUAAGGUUUACAGUUACAAAGAUACUGUUGUAUUAUCUAUACUAUGUUGCCUUUUAAUCGUGCAUCGACCUUAAGUAUCGAAAAAAAGAGAUAAAUCCUGGAGAUUUAAUCAUCUAUUCAUUUCCAUUAAAAGGGUUUAACUCCUCGAGCUUUAAUCGGCACAGAUGUGAUCGUAAUU
This is a long non-coding RNA of Apis dorsata (giant honeybee), 284 nucleotides long. RefSeq lists it as uncharacterized. The transcript has 2 exons. NCBI's taxonomy places the organism in Eukaryota, Metazoa, Arthropoda, Insecta, Hymenoptera, Apidae. The record is from RefSeq and is a predicted model, not a curated record.